RNAcentral lists this unclassified non-coding RNA (320 nucleotides) under Hevea brasiliensis (rubber tree). Lineage: Eukaryota; Viridiplantae; Streptophyta; Magnoliopsida; Malpighiales; Euphorbiaceae. The record is from RNAcentral.
GGAAUGGCUACUAAUACUCCUCUGGAUCAAACUCGGCUGCUGAGUCGUCGUUCCACCACUCGUCAGUGAACUCGGCGAACCAUAGCUACUGUACCCGCUAGUAGUAGUACUACCCACCUCGACUCCAGCGAGGUGGUCAGGGAUGAUUAAUUGAGGCGGGAACUGACCCGACACUGACAUGAACGCCGAUGCAGCAGUACUGUCGGGAGACGAAGAGUGGUCGCCAAGGACGACGUCGGCGCGUGGGAAUGUAGGGUUAGUGUGACUGUACAUGGCGCGUGGAGAUGAUGCUUAUAGCUUGGUUUAGAAAGCGAGGGAAG